GGACCCUGCUCAAACGAGCUUACAAUCUGGAGGAAGUGCGGUAGAAAGACACAAUAGGAAGGGCUUCAAGGGAGACAGCAAGCAAACAAGGUGGAAAAGUAGCAUAACUGGAGGUGAGAGUGGAGUGUGGCUCUUUAGGAGAGAGGAAGAGACAGAUAAGUGACAUAGAAGUUACUUUGAACAGAUGGGUAUUAGGGACUUCUUAAAUGAUUAAAGACUAGGGGAGAGUCUAAUGGGGUUAGGCUGUUCCAAAG
Pelobates cultripes (western spadefoot toad) is the source of this 254-nucleotide non-coding RNA. The record is from the annotation of a GenBank genome assembly. Lineage: Eukaryota; Metazoa; Chordata; Amphibia; Anura; Pelobatidae.